Molecule: ribosomal RNA, 273 nt
Filed under: uncultured bacterium
Lineage: Bacteria
Description: partial 16S ribosomal RNA
Rfam family: Bacterial small subunit ribosomal RNA
Source: RNAcentral
UACGUAGGGUGCAAGCGUUGUCCGGAAUUAUUGGGCGUAAAGAGCUCGUAGGCGGUCUGUCGCGUCGGCUGUGAAAACCCGGAGCUCAACUCCGGGCCUGCAGUCGAUACGGGCAAACUGGAGUGUUGCAGGGGAGACUGGAAUUCCUGGUGUAGCGGUGAAAUGCGCAGAUAUCAGGAGGAACACCGGUGGCGAAGGCGGGUCUCUGGGCAACAACUGACGCUGAGGAGCGAAAGCGUGGGGAGCGAACAGGAUUAGAAACCCCCGUAGUCC